GUGUCAGCAGCCGCGGUAAUACAGAGGUCCCAAGCGUUGUUCGGAAUUAUUGGGCGUAAAGGGUGCGUAGGCGGCAGGGUAAGUUAGAUGUGAAAUACCGGGGCUUAACCUCGGAAUUGCAUUUAAGACUGCCUUGCUUGAGUUCUAGAGAGGAGACUGGAAUUUACGGUGUAGCAGUGAAAUGCGUAGAUAUCGUAAGGAAGACCAGUGGCGAAAGCGAGUCUCUGGCUAGAAACUGACGCUGAGGCACGAAAGCUGGGGGAGCAAACGGGAUUAGAUACCCCGGUAGUCC
This 292-nucleotide ribosomal RNA is filed under the name uncultured bacterium. Its description in RNAcentral is "partial 16S ribosomal RNA". It matches the Rfam family "Bacterial small subunit ribosomal RNA", at positions 505 to 796 of the family's 1533-position model. The record is from RNAcentral.